This 645-nucleotide ribosomal RNA is filed under the name Triticum aestivum (bread wheat). RNAcentral's name for it is "partial small subunit ribosomal RNA". The record is from RNAcentral. Lineage: Eukaryota; Viridiplantae; Streptophyta; Magnoliopsida; Poales; Poaceae.
AUGGAACUCGAAGUAGGGCCGUCGGAGUCCGGCGGCCUGGCGGCGCUGGCUGCCGGCCUCGCGAGGCGCCUGGCCGAGGAGAACUCGGAGAGCAACCUGGUGUUCUCGCCGCUGUCCAUCUACGCCGCGGUCGCGCUCCUGGCCGCGGGCGCCCGGGGCGCCACCCUGGACGAGAUCCUCGGCGUCCUCGGCGCGCCGUCUCGCGCCGCGCUCGAGGUGUUCGUCUCCCUCGUGGCGGAGCAAGCGCUCAGAGACCAGUCUGGCUCCGGCGGGCCGCGCAUCGCGUUCGCGUGCGGCGUGUGGAGCGACCUCACUUGCGCCCUGAAGCCAGCCUACCGCCACGCCGUCCUGAGCACGUACAAGGCCGAGGCCAGCACCGUCGACUUCCAGAACGACCCGGAGGGAGCACGCGGCCAGAUCAACGAGUGGGCCGCGCGGGCGACGCAGAACCUGAUCGGCGGCGUCCUCGGCCCGGAAUCAGUGACGCCGCUCACCCGCGUCGUGCUCGGCAACGCCAUAUACUUCAAGGGGAAGUGGCAAGAGCCCUUCUGCAAGAGGGAUACCGAGAGCAAGCUUUUCCACCGGCUCUACGGCCGCGCCGUCGACGUGCCCUUCAUGCAGAGUUGGGAGCCCCAGUUCAUCGCU